AUUGAACGCUGGCGGCAGGCCUAACACAUGCAAGUCGAACGGUAACAGGAAGCAGCUUGCUGCUUCGCUGACGAGUGGCGGACGGGUGAGUCAUGUCUGGGAAGCUGCCUGAUGGAGGGGGAUAACUACUGGAAACGGUAGCUAAUACCGCAUAAUGUCGCAAGACCAAAGAGGGGGACCUUCGGGCCUCUUGCCAUCGGAUGUGCCCAGAUGGGAUUAGCUUGUUGGUGGGGUAACGGCUCACCAAGGCGACGAUCCCUAGCUGGUCUGAGAGGAUGACCAGCCACACUGGGACUGAGCCACGGUCCAGACUCCUACGGGAGGCAGCAGUGGGGAAUAUUGCACAAUGGGCGCAAGCCUGAUGCAGCCAUGCCGCGUGUAUGAAGAAGGCCUUCGGGUUGUAAAGUACUUUCAGCGGGGAGGAAGGGAGUAAAGUUAAUACCUUGGCUCAUUGACGUUACCCGCAGAAGAAGCACCGGCUAACUCCGUG
This 490-nucleotide ribosomal RNA is filed under the name uncultured bacterium. RNAcentral describes it as "partial 16S ribosomal RNA". It matches the Rfam family "Bacterial small subunit ribosomal RNA", at positions 30 to 507 of the family's 1533-position model. The record is from RNAcentral.